RNAcentral lists this ribosomal RNA (443 nucleotides) under uncultured bacterium. RNAcentral describes it as "partial 16S ribosomal RNA". It matches the Rfam family "Bacterial small subunit ribosomal RNA", at positions 338 to 795 of the family's 1533-position model. The record is from RNAcentral.
CCUACGGGUGGCAGCAGUGGGGAAUAUUGGGCAAUGGGCGCAAGCCUGACCCAGCAACGCCGCGUGAAGGAAGAAGGCUUUCGGGUUGUAAACUUCUUUUGUCAGGGACGAAGCAAGUGACGGUACCUGACGAAUAAGCCACGGCUAACUACGUGCCAGCAGCCGCGGUAAUACGUAGGUGGCAAGCGUUAUUCUGAUUUAUUGGGUGUAAAGGGCGUGUAGGCGGGAAUGCAAGUCAGAUGUGAAAACUAUGGGCUCAACCCAUAGCCUGCAUUUGACACUGUAUUUCUUGGGUGCUGGAGAGGCAAUCGGAAUUCCGUGGGUAGCGGUGAAAUGCGUAGAUAUACGGAGGAACACCAGUGGCGAAGGCGGAUUGCUGGACAGUAACUGACGCUGAGGCGCGAAAGCGUGGGGAGCAAACAGGAUUAGAUACCCAUGUAGUC